RNAcentral lists this ribosomal RNA (468 nucleotides) under uncultured bacterium. Its description in RNAcentral is "partial 16S ribosomal RNA". It matches the Rfam family "Bacterial small subunit ribosomal RNA", at positions 28 to 507 of the family's 1533-position model. The record is from RNAcentral.
GACGAACGCUGGCGGCGUGCUUAACACAUGCAAGUCGAACGGAAAGGCCCUGCUUUUGUGGGGUGCUCGAGUGGCGAACGGGUGAGUAACACGUGAGUAACCUGCCCUUGACUUUGGGAUAACUUCAGGAAACUGGGGCUAAUACCGGAUAGGAGCUCCUGCUGCAUGGUGGGGGUUGGAAAGUUUCGGCGGUUGGGGAUGGACUCGCGGCUUAUCAGCUUGUUGGUGGGGUAGUGGCUUACCAAGGCUUUGACGGGUAGCCGGCCUGAGAGGGUGACCGGCGACAUUGGGACUGAGAUACGGACCAGACUCCUACGGGAGGCAGCAGUGGGGAAUAUUGCACAAUGGGCGGAAGCCUGAUGCAGCAACGCCGCGUGCGGGAUGACGGCCUUCGGGUUGUAAACCGCUUUCGCAUGUGACGAAGCGUGAGUGACGGUAAUGGGUAAAGAAGCACCGGCUAACUACGUG